RNAcentral lists this ribosomal RNA (460 nucleotides) under uncultured bacterium. Its description in RNAcentral is "partial 16S ribosomal RNA". It matches the Rfam family "Bacterial small subunit ribosomal RNA", at positions 338 to 795 of the family's 1533-position model. The record is from RNAcentral.
CCUACGGGAGGCAGCAGUGAGGAAUAUUGGUCAAUGGCCGAGAGGCUGAACCAGCCAAGUAGCGUGAGGGAUGACUGCCCUAUGGGUUGUAAACUUCUUUUGUAAAGGAAUAAAACGCGGCACGUGUGCCUUUUUGCAUGUACUUUGUGAAUAAGGAUCGGCUAACUCCGUGCCAGCAGCCGCGGUAAUACGGAGGAUCCGAGCGUUAUCCGGAUUUAUUGGGUUUAAAGGGAGCGUAGAUGGGUUGCGAAGUCAGUUGUGAAAGUUUGCGGCUCAACCGUAAAAUUGCAAUUGAUACUGGCAGUCUUGAGUACAGUUGAGGUAGGCGGAAUGCGUGGUGUAGCGGUGAAAUGCUUAGAUAUCACGCAGAACCCCGAUUGCGAAGGCAGCUUACCAACCUGUGACUGACAUUGAUGCUCGAAAGUGUGGGUAUCGAACAGGAUUAGAUACCCGAGUAGUC